CGGUCUUACCAUGCAGUCGACGGUGAAGCCAAGCUUGCUUGGUGGAUCAGUGGCGAACGGGUGAGUAACACGUGAGCAACCUGCCCUGGACUCUGGGAUAAGCGCUGGAAACGGCGUCUAAUACUGGAUAUGAGCCUCUAUCGCAUGGUGGGGGUUGGAAAGAUUUUUUGGUCUGGGAUGGGCUCGCGGCCUAUCAGCUUGUUGGUGAGGUAAUGGCUCACCAAGGCGUCGACGGGUAGCCGGCCUGAGAGGGUGACCGGCCACACUGGGACUGAGACACGGCCCAGACUCCUACGGGAGGCAGCAGUGGGGAAUAUUGCACAAUGGGCGGAAGCCUGAUGCAGCAACGCCGCGUGAGGGAUGACGGCCUUCGGGUUGUAAACCUCUUUUAGCAGGGAAGAAGCGAGAGUGACGGUACCUGCAGAAAAAGCGCCGGCUAACUACGUGCCAGCAGCCGCGGUAAUACGUAGGGCGCAAGCGUUAUCCGGAAUUAUUGGGCGUAAAGAGCUCGUAGGCGGUUUGUCGCGUCUGCUGUGAAAUCCCGAGGCUCAACCUCGGGUCUGCAGUGGGUACGGGCAGACUAGAGUGCGGUAGGGGAGAUUGGAAUUCCUGGUGUAGCGGUGGAAUGCGCAGAUAUCAGGAGGAACACCGAUGGCGAAGGCAGAUCUCUGGGCCGUAACUGACGCUGAGGAGCGAAAGGGUGGGGAGCAAACAGGCUUAGAUACCCUGGUAGUCCACCCCGUAAACGUUGGGAACUAGUUGUGGGGACCAUUCCACGGUUUCCGUGACGCAGCUAACGCAUUAAGUUCCCCGCCUGGGGAGUACGGCCGCAAGGCUAAAACUCAAAGGAAUUGACGGGGACCCGCACAAGCGGCGGAGCAUGCGGAUUAAUUCGAUGCAGCGCGAAGAACCUUACCAAGGCUUGACAUA
This 930-nucleotide ribosomal RNA is filed under the name Microbacterium sp. X34. RNAcentral's name for it is "bacterial SSU rRNA". It matches the Rfam family "Bacterial small subunit ribosomal RNA", at positions 43 to 988 of the family's 1533-position model. The record is from RNAcentral. Lineage: Bacteria; Bacillati; Actinomycetota; Actinomycetes; Micrococcales; Microbacteriaceae.